GCGAUCGGCUCGCGUGCUGUGCAUUCGCGGCGCAUUCGCCAGAUGUGGACGCACCCUAAGAAAGACGACCCACUGACCGAAAUAUGUUCAUGUGGGGUGUAAAACAAGUAGGCUAUGGCUAUCAGGUAACAUAGGCGGGAGACCAUACAGUACAAUACAUACCAAGUACCCAGAGUCUAGGCUGGCCAUAAAUAUGAGUCAUCUGAAAUCCACCUAAGUAUUUGAUAAGAUAACCUAUUAAAAUGUAAGAAAGGUUUUUAAGGCACACGUGAGGCUGUUAAUACUGAUCAAGACUAUUAUUUUUCUUUUAACUAAAACUGGUGGGAAAUCAUCAGACAAUCUCUCCUGAUGUGGGUGCAGUGUGAGGGAGUGACUUUUAUACUGACUAAAACCCACCAUGAUCCUUCCGGAAGUUCCGGAGACCCUUUUGAUCCUGGCCUUUUGGGCCGCGUUAACUCAAGGCGGUGUUUUAAGGCCUUGACUAGACUGUUUAUUCAGCUGCUCUCAUAAAUCAAGCAGUCACCAAAUCAUUAUAACUGUUGUAGGUAUUGAAAAAACGUUUUAAACUGAAUUAAUGAUAAACAUGGACACAUUACUCACCGUAAGCCGUAUAAGUUCAGAUCGAUCUCUACGUAAUUUAAUUGAUCAUACGUCAAUGCUAUGUCAAUAUCGUACCCGCUUCAUCGAAUGCGUGGUAGUCUGAUAUUCAAUUAUACAUAUGUUGAUUUUUCUUUAAGUAGAUACAUACACCUCCGUAGCGUUUUCCCUAAUAUACCUAUUGGGAUCAAA
Molecule: long non-coding RNA, 789 nt
Organism: Helicoverpa zea (corn earworm)
Lineage: Eukaryota; Metazoa; Arthropoda; Insecta; Lepidoptera; Noctuidae
Exons: 2
Source: RefSeq, a predicted model, not a curated record